AGAUAUUUCCUCGUACCCCUUUCAUCUUCCUCGGAUUGAAUGAGUGACACCGCCGGAGCUGCCACCGACGGUGAAUGCCACCACCACCAGUGGCCACCAGAUUAACAUUUCGUCUUCUCCUCGUCUCGAUUCCCCAGUUCAUUUCUCUCAAAUCCUAGCCUAGCUCGUCGAAUCUUUGCCCAAAUAUUUUCCGACCAAGAUGCAAAACCAUCCAAACCUUACCAAAUUAACACCGAAGAAUCGUCGUAGCAUCCUUUUUCAAACCCCUAAAGAGACAUCCCUCGAAAAUGGCUGGAAUGCCUCGAAUAUCAAAAUGAAUUUUUCCGGCCAAAACUCUAAUUGCCCCAAACUUCACCAAUAUGAUACCAAAUGACCCUCUAACCAUCCUCGUAGUGGAUCGGUCAUUAAUCGAGCUUUAUUUCUGCCGGAGUUGGUCGUGUUAGAAUUUGAAAUUUUGACAGAAGUCGCGAAGUAAGUCAGUAAGUUUCAGUUUCUUUUUAUUUUUCUUUUUCCUUGAUGCUCUGACCUCCCAUGACUAGGUAGCUUUUUAACUUAGUUUGGUAAUAGUUGUCAGUCCGAAAUCAAUGACUUGUUUAUUUCUGUUUCAGUUUUUGGUCCUUGUCUGUUUGAUUCAUGUUAGUUUAGGGGAUUGAUUGGUUAUUUGUUAGAUUUGUUUCUAUUUGGCUAUUUGAGUAAUGAUUCUUAAUUGUAAUUCUGAUUAGAUCAUUUGAAUGUUAUAUGGUUCUUAUGUCUGAUUAAUUUCUGUUUGUAAUGGUUUAAUUCAUCUUCAAUUGAUCACCUUAUUGUGUGUUUAGUUGGUUAACUAGAUAAUUUUAGGUAGGUGUUUGGUUUAAGUAAUUUAGAAGUACUAAAGGGUAGUUUAGGUAUUUUUUAUUGGGUAAGAAAUGGUAGAUCACACUAGAAUAGUUUAGACCCUUCUAGAAUAGGACCUUAGUGAAAAUUUUAGAAAACUCAGGGUGUUUCCUUGAGCAACAAGUUUUAAAAUGAGGGACAAUAACUGAAAAUGAGGAGGGACUAAAGGAAUAACUGAAAAUCUGAUUGUUGCCUAUAAAAGGCAUCACAAAUGCCUUGUUGAAUAAGUUAGAGAGCCAAAAUAUUCCCNNNNNNNNNNNNNNNNNNNNNNNNNNNNNNNNNNNNNNNNNNNNNNNNNNNNNNNNNNNNNNNNNNNNNNNNNNNNNNNNNNNNNNNNNNNNNNNNNNNNNNNNNNNNNNNNNNNNNNNNNNNNNNNNNNNNNNNNNNNNNNNNNNNNNNNNNNNNNNNCCCCCCUCCCCGCCAAAAAAGUUCUCUCUAGAUUUCCAAAUCUGAGAUUUCAAAACACUUCUCUAAGAUUACACAUAUCUGAAGUUACUCGAUCAGCUCUCAAUUUUGAUGUUGAAAUUUUUAAUUUGCUAAAUCUUCUGAUAGCUAAUGUUUUAGUUGGAGUUUGGGUUUAUUGGAUUGAUCUGAUGCAUUUUCAAGUAUAUUCGGUGUGAAUCAAGCUAGUUUGGUUGGUCUUUCCUAUUUCUUUUGGUGUUUGGUUGUCUACUGGGCGUCCUUGAUACUAUUUCUUGGCUGGUUAUUGUCGAAUUCUGUUGUUGCUGAGAGUUGUUGCUUGUUGUUGACCUCUUCCUGUUCUUCCUGUUCCAUUAAAUCCAGGUACACGCCUAAAACUGGCCAAAUGUAGCUGUUUAAAUUGAAAGCUGAAAUGAAAUGGUAUUCUUUGGAAUUUAUGUGCUUGAGCUGCUGGUGGAGUAGUAGUAGAUAAUUUGUGUUUGUUUAAACUCAUUGUGGUUUGUAUAUUGUGUUGUAUAAUUGAACUGAUAGAACUGUUAUAGUAUUGGUUCGAUUUAGUUGUUGUGUAGUUCAAUUCCGGAAUUAAAAGCAAGCUGAAAUUGGGAAAUGGUUUAGAAAUUCACGAGUUUCAAUUGUAUCAAUAACAUUGAGCUGAAAUCAGUAGGAAAGUACUGAGUCUGAUAGUUCGUGUUAAGUUCCAAAUAAUUGCAGCAGGUCCAUCCAUAGAAUUGGGAAUCACUUGAGCAUUAAUAAUAACCUGAAUUAGUUCAAGGCAUAUGGUGUGCUUCGACAUUCUGUUGAAGUACACAUGCAUCCUCCGUCAUUUGUUUGCAUGAUAUAGAGCUAAGUUGUCUAGGAGGAGACUAUUCAAUAUUAUUGUUUUGUGUUGAUUCAUUCCAGCAUAUUCCUACUAUUUUGCUUCUCACGUGAAUAAAGUUAUUGACGGCAGUGUGCUAAACUCGCCAGGUUAUUUCUGUGAUAUAAAUCAUUAGUUUAAAAAAUCAAUGGUUACAUUUAAAUGUAAGUCUAGCAUGAGUCUUAUCACAUGCCUGGAACCCAAAGAAAUUCACGCGAAUUAGUUACUGCUCGGCCAAGUAUUAUUGAGUUGGAUAUAAAUGAGUAUAGAUAAACUUCAAUAGAGGAAUUAUAAAGACGUUGAAGAUGUCCCUUUUAAAAAUAAACGAGACGAGCCUCGCCCAAUAAAAUACAAAAUUGAGGGGCCCUCAGUAAAGGUUUAAAAAUGUUUUAGAAAUCGGGAUGGGCCGUUUAGCGAAUUUCACGACCCUCCCAAAAGAUAAUAACACGCUAGAAUUUUUUAGGCGUGGCUUUAAUAAAUUACAUUCCUAAAUACGGGUGGGCAUUUUAUGCUGCUCAAAUCCAAAUCUUAAAAUGUUGAAUCGAGAGUGUAGGAUUGCGGGUUCAUUUGGUGCGGCGCAACCCGAAAACACAUUUUAAACGACGUUCACUUUCUUAAAGAAAUAUUUUAUUAAAUAAAAGCGGUAAAAAAUAAAAAUUGGCACAUAGGUUCUUUAUGUAAUAAAAUUAGUUAAAGUUAAACGUAACAGUUGAGCGACCGUGCUAGAACCACGUAACUCGGGAAUGCCUAACACCUUCUCCGGGUUAACAGAAUUCCUUAUCCGGAUUUUUGGUUCGCGGACUAUGAAUAGAGUCAUAUUUUUCCUCAGUUCGUGAUUCAAUCGGUGACUUGGGACACCAUUAAUAUCUUAAGUGGAGACUCUGAAAUCUUAAUAAUAAAUCUCAUUCCGAUUGUCCUUUAAUUGGAAAAACUCCUUUAUGCCCCCUUGCGGGGGUGUAUUGCGAAAUGGAGGUGUGACAGCUCUGGCGACUCUGCUGGGAAUAAGAACCCAGAAUGUUUUGUUCAGGGUUCAGAAUUCAAGCUUAGAAUAAUUGUUGUGUUUGGCUUUAUCUGAUUUUGUUACAUGAUAUGUGCUUAAUGUGCUAAUUGAUUGCUUUUACCGCUUGGAUAUUAUGUGAACUGUAUAUAAACUGUGCCGCAAUCCAUCUCCUCUCUGAGUCUUCUGAAUCAUGAAGAAGGGCGUACGGUGUACGACUUCUUUUCUGUCUAGUGUCAAAUCCUAAUUUAGAACGAGGUUUGGAUAAGUCGCAAAGCCGGCGAAGCUUCUGUAUUCCCGGAUUUCUGCCUCCUCCUCGGCUCGAGCUGUCCGCUCGGGUAAGCCAGGUCUAGAUCAAACAGCCAGGUUUUGAACCUAGAAUAUCUCAGCCUCAUGCCGGAUUCCUAAUAGGAACGCUUGUUUGCGUCAUGUGCAUUUUGACUUAGAGGACUCAACACAGGGGUUGGGUCCGUCUAGGGCUAGCAACCUGAAAUGAAUAGACCAUUCGGAUGCAUCCUACUUGUUUUUUGUGCAUUUAUAUAUGUCAAACCUGCAUGUUUCCUGGCUUUUGAAUCUCGGGAAUGUUAAGCAUCCUACUUGUUUUCUGUGCAUUUAUUUGUUUGGGCUUGCAUGUUGACCGGCUUUUGAAUCUCAGUAACGUUAGAAAAUUAAGAAAAAAGGAAAAAAAAAGAGAAAAAUAGCAGUUGGAGAGUUAAUUGAUUGUUUUAGAAAAACCGAUGUCCAAGUACUGUCGGAACUCUGCCGAAAUUUUGAGACAGUGUAAAAAUGUUUUAUUUUAAAUAGUUGUUUUAUUCAAAAAGAGUCCGUCAUUUUAGUUUGUCUUGUUUGCAAAAAUGGAAAAUGAAAAAUAGUUUGCUUUGUCAUGAGAAAAGAAAAAAAAAGAGUCUUUAUUUUUGGUCUUCUUGUUUCAAAAUAGUUUAUUUACCAAUGGAAAAAUAGGGUAUUUUAUUGAAAAAGAAAAAAAAAGAGUCUUUCUUUUUGGUUGGGAAAAAUAGGUUGUUUGUUGAAAAUGAGAAGAAAAAAAUCGUCAUUUUGUCUUGUUUUCAAAAUAGAAAAGGAAAAAUAGUUUGUUUUGUCAUGAAAUAUGAGAAGGGAAAAGGAGUCUUUUAUUUUAGUCUUGUUUUCGAAAAUGAAAAAGAGAAAAAUAGUUUGUUCUGCCAUAGAAAAUGAAAAAAAAAAGAAAAAAAGAAAAAAAGUCUUUUAUUUUUUAGGCUAUUUUAUCGUUUGAUGAAAAACAAAGAAAAAGAGUCUUGUUUUUAAAAGUAGUUUUUUUUUUUUUUGCUUAUGAAAUGCCAAAAAAAAAAUAUAUCUUAUUUUAAAAUAGUUCGGUUAAUCUGCCCGAACUACGCAUGGUUUGAUUCUCACAAGGCGUGAGAUACAUAGGCAACCCUCAUCGGGUCCAACCUCCCCUUUACAAAAUAGCCCAAAAAAUAUCAAAAUUUUAAUUUAUGUCAUAAAUAAACCAGGAGAUGCCGUUUAUGUCAAAAAUAGCCAAAUGUUCCCAAACGGAACGUCGGAAGGCUGACUUUGCAUAAACAGCUACCUUUGGUCAUAUUUUAAUUUUUGACCCUCACAACCUUAAAUCUUUGUCCGCGAGGCACUGAAAGGCCGUGUUUGCAAUACCGGAUCAUUUAUUUUAAUUUGAAAAAAUAAGAAGAGUCAGUGGCCAAGUGGAUACCGUUCUUAUUUUGGGUUAAAAUUGGCAUAUAGGGAAAGGAAUCUGUCGGUGGUUUUUAAGUUUGUAUUUCUUUUGAUUAGAGUAUGUGGGUCGUUUGUUUUUGAGUCUGUCAGAAGCUGAUAGUUUAAGUUUGUCGGUUUUUAAACAUUUGUAGUCAGAGUUAGUUUUAUUAUGAAAAAUUGAAAAAUCCAAAAAAUAUUUUAUUGUUGUUAUCUUCUAUCUGCACGAACUACGCCUGGUCUGAUUCGUGCGGGGUCACGAUAUGUAGGCAAUCCACAUAGGAUUCGACCACAACCAAAAAAAUAAAAGAGAAAAGUAAAGUAAAAGAAAAAAUGAAAAAUAGAAAAGAGAAAUUGAAAAAUGUGAAAACAUGUUGUUAAUAUUGAGGGUCGACUCAAUCCAUUCUAACAUGUUUUGUUUUGAAUUGUGUAGAAAGUUGAGGUGGUUGCUUUGUCGUAACUCAUCCAUAAGACACAAGGUCGAAAAGCAAGGUAGUCAUGGCUGGCAAAGGGUUGAACACAGGUAUUGCUGAUCCGUCUAGAGGAAUUGUUGAAUCAGAAUUUGAGUUGAAAGAAGAGGUUUUGAGGUUGAAAACACAGAUAGUCGGAAUGCACAAAGCUUGGGCCAGUGGGUAUCCUCCGACAUCAGUCCCUGAUGCCCAACAUUAUCAUUCUCUUCAUUUUGAAUCUACCAGUGAGACUACGAAGCUUGCUAAAAUAGUGGAGCGGAAUGAGAUAUCCAAAAAACUGGAAGGGCUUAAGACGCUGAAGUUUAAUUUGUAUGAUGGGCGGGGAGAUCCGGUUGACCAUUUGAGGGAUUAUUGCAAUUAAACGAGGAAUGGCGGCAAGGAAGAUGAGUUGUUGAUGUCGCAUUUCAGUGAGAGCCUGACUGGUGCAGCCUUGGAAUGGCAUGAUCAUCAAGAUAUUGGGAAGUUGCACACGCUGGGCGACAUGACUCAAGAUUUUUUGCGACAUUUUCAGUACAACAAAGACAGUGUCCCAAUCAAGUCCUCCCCAUCUCAGAUGAAAAAGAAACCCAAAGAAAGUUUCAGGGAAUUUUGGGUCAGAUGGAACGAACAAGUUUCUCAAUAUGCUCCUUCCAUUGAUAAAAAAGAUAUUGUUGAGCCACGCCAACGAGAGAUCCCAAUGGUCAUUCCUGCCAAGCGUCUUCGGCCUCAACUCUAAUCCCAAACAUGUCCCCGAGCCUCACCUAGGAUACCUCAGUAUUAUUCUCCAAACAAUGGCCGGUCAGGUGUCCAAACACUAGGUCACUCCCAUUGCCAACGACAGCGGACGGUGGUCGUUCUUGGUAAAUGCUUUCAGCCUCCAUACCGACCCGAUGAACGUCCCCAAACUCCACAUAAGCCACCAGGCAUUCCUUCCAUUGGCGACAGGGUGCAGUGACCGUUCUUGCUAAGCCCCACGGAUAUCCUAGUACACCAAGUGUCCCGCCCCGAUGCUACGUCCCUGGAUCAAGUUUCGAGCAAAUCAGGCAUUUAGUAAUGAGAGGUUGCAGAAAAAGAAAGUCUAAACUCCCUUGGGAGAGUCAUACGCCAAUCUGUUCCAGAGACUAAAGAGUUAGGGCGUGUUGAAGCCUAUUCAGAUAAAAAUACUAGGCCCUCUUUCAAAGAAGUUGGAUUUUCCCCAAAGAUGCGCAUAUUGCUCAAAUGCCCCCGGACAUGACACAGAAAAAUGUUGGAGGCUAAAGAAAGUAAUUCAGGAGCUUAUGGAUGCAGGCGACAUCAUCGUGCCAAAUUUAGAUGCAACUAACACCAGCCAAAGUCCACCGCCUGUGUAAAAUGAGACGCACAUGGCGGAUAUGAUUUCCUUGGAAAUGUUAUUUGAAGGCCCCAGUAUUAUUGAUGCAAAACUCAGUGGCUAAGAUGCCGAGCUUGGUAAUUGGAAAGACACUUCAUCUCUUGGCCAGCUGGAGAGAAGUCUUGGUGGUUUAUUUUGUUGUCAUUUCUGUUUUCCGGGUUAUUUUCAGGGUUGUAAUCCGGAUAUUGUCUUGUGAUUCAAACCCUUCUAUCCUUUUAUAUGUUUAGUUCCUUUAGUCGUCAUAUUUUAUGUAGUGUUAUCUAGGUUUAUUUUAGUAUUGUACCCUAGUUGUGUUUCUUGUUUUGUUGUUAAACCCUUCCAUCGUCUGUUUAAUAUAAUUCUCUGUUUAUUGCCAUUUCUAGUCAUUUUUGUUUAGUUGUCUUUUCUUUCUACAAUUCUUUUCCUGCUGGUUCUAGUGACAUGACAUGCACACAUAAUUCUCAGUCGGAUUUUUAAAGCCAUGUUGGUCGGGAAGCAAUGAAACCAUUUUGAAGACGAUGAGGGCACUUGAGGAAAUAAGAACUGAUUUGGACGUUUUGAGAUUGUUUGAUGCUUGAACCAUGAGAAACUGGGUCAAUUAGAUUCUGAAGAUGAUGAGGGUAUUUGAGGAAAUAAGAAUAGAUUUGAAUGUUGUGAGAUUGUUUGACGCCCGAACCAUGUGAAACUGGGGCAAGCAAAAUAUAAAAAAUCCCCGCAAAAGAAAGUUGGCCAAAUUGACAGGGGGACGAUCGGGGUAAUAAGAGUAAGAGUGUGGCCCAAUGGCACAUUAAAUCAGACGGAUGUAGAAAGAAGGUGUUGGAAAUGGCCGUCAAUUCCGAUGCAGUCAAACGAUACUGUGUAUGGUUUCUGUAUUUUGAUUGUACCUGUUUGUACUUGGCAUAUUUUGAGGGUUGAAAUGACGAAGGCGUUUUGUUCUGCUAUUCAAAUACUUUUUCCAUUGUCACCCUUUUUGAGCCAUUUUUAUUUUCUUUCAUGCCCCUCUUUCGGAAUUAAUGGAACAAUCAAAGAAAUGCAAGUGCCGGAGAUAAGCAAAUGGAAAAAGAUGGAAAAAGAAAAGGAAAGAAAGGAAAAAGAAGACGGAAAAGAAGAGAAAAGGGAAAAAAGAGGGAAAAAAGGAAAAAGAAAGAAAGGAAAAGAAAAAAAGAAAAGAAAAGAAAAGAAAAGAGAAGAAAAGAUAGAAAAAGAAAAGAAAAAAAAGAAAGAAAAACAGAAAGAAAAGAAGAGAAAGAAAAUCACGACAACAUAGUUUCUAUGACGUGAACUACGUUUGACUUGAUCCCCAAAGGGUAUGGAGGCAGGCUUUCUGAGGUUCAGUCAUACCAAAAUAAAAUUCCGAAAGUCCCCAAGCAAGAAACUGGGUUAGAAGUUUUGAUUGUGGAGAGACAUCGGAUUUUGAAAGUUCUAGUCUUAACCCCAUUUUGAAUUGAUUUGAGACUUUAUAUCAUUUCUUUCUAACCCUAUCCAAAAGCCCAAAUUUCAGUCCAAAGGAAGACCUUCCGAUCAAUCUUUGAGAAAUGCCAAGUCAAGAAGGAAAGAUAAUUCAUGUAAGGGCCAACACUCCAGUCCAAACAAGGUGAUGAAAGCUGAGAGAAAUAAAAAAAAUGAGAGUCAUAUUGGCGAAAACCUUCACGGGCACCUUGAGGCGAUGGUAAGUCGAGAGAAAGAAAAAAUGAGAGAGAUUUGUUGGUGAAAACCCUUCGGGCACUACAAGUCGAAUAAGGAAUGUAAAUCGGAUUAGAUAAAUGGAGCACCGAAGCCCUGUCUCACGACGAAAGAUACAACAAGAGAUGAACAUCGGGUUUGAUUGGCAGAAUAUCCACAUGUGCAUGUCAUGGUCGUUAGAGUUGGUAUCCAUAUUUUAUAGGUUUCUACUUCGUAGUGUCUUCUUUAGUGAUCAUUUCUUUACUAUGUCUUUCAGUUCGUUCUUCUGUUUUAUUCACUUCCUCUUUCUGAGUCUGUUUGAUCGUAACAAGUGAGAAAUGACUUUAAAUUUUCCACCAGCUUUCCAAUUGGAGAAAACAACAAGAUUAAGGGUAAUAAAUCAACACGCUUGGGGGAUCAUAUGAAACACAAAGUUUGGUAGAUAAGUUCAGGAGUAAUGCAACAGAUGGAUGGUAUUGGGUUUGAACAAAGAAUAGAUAUUUUCUGUGACAAGGGUCAAGCGAAUGAGCAAUAGACUUUAUGGUCAAGGGGAUAGGGGUUGUGAUUUAAGAAGAAACAACAUACUGUGGGGGCAGUAGAUGCAAUUUGGGAAUUCAUGUAAGACUCAAAGGUCAGGAAAAUGCCAGUUCAUGAGCGAUGUGAGAAACAGAAGAUAUAGGGUUUGAAUGCAGAAAAGGUAUGGAUUCAGAUAAGAAGAUUAGAAGUAAUAAUUGAGAGGUGUUCGUCAAGAAGGGCGUAAGUUAUCCGCCAAGUUUCAAAGAUGGUCGUACAAUGCCGAGCAUGGAAAGGAGAAAAGAAAGGCCAUCCCCAACGGAAGUACCACAACCAACCACCACAAUUUAAAAUGACAAAAUUUUCUUUGAUUUGAAAUAGAGGCAUAGAAAUGUUAUUGAUGGCAAAAAGAUAUGCUGGGGCAGAAAAUUUUCUACCGUUUUGAAAAUUGUUUUUGAAGUCGGGCACCAUUCGAAGAACAUGAAGGUCAAAUACAAGUUUGUUAAAAGAAGAAGAGGGAAGUAGUGUUCGGGAAAAAAAUACCAGUUUUAAGGAAAGUAAUUUCGGAGCAUUGGAACACCAAGUUGUUAGGGAAGCGGUUUUUGAAGGAGGGCAACACCAACUUUUUUGGAAGCGAAGGAAGGUAAUUCAAGUUAGAAGGUAGAUAAAACAAGUUUCAGAGAAAAUGGUUGAGAUAAAAUCUUAGUCUGAUGCAAGCAGUUCUGAAGGAAGGUAAUUCAAGUUAGAAGGUAGAUAAUAAAACAAGUUUCAGAGGAAACAGUUGAGAUAAAAUCUUAGUCUGAUGAAAUUUUCACCUAAGAAAAAAAUCUUAGUCUGAUGAAUCUUUCACCUAAGAUGAAGGUAAAAGAUUUUAGUCUGAUGAAUUUUUCACCUAAGGUAUAGAAAUCUUAGUCAGUUGAAUCUUUCACCUAAGAUAAAGGCAGAAGUUUGGACAAGAAAGGAAGGCAUAAUUCGGGAAGAAAGACAGAAGUUGGAAAAAAAGAAGAAAGCAUUAUUUAGGAAGGAAGGCAUAAGUUGGGAAAAGAAGGGAAGGCAUAACUUGGAAAGGAAAGCAGAAGUUGGAAAACCAAAGAAGGCAUAAUCUGGGAGAAAGAAAGGAAGACACAAUGUGAAAAAGAAGGAACGGAAUGUUUGAAUUCAAAAAUAGACCUAGGCCGAUGAAUUAUCUCCUAGAGUCAAAAUCUCAGUCCGAUGGAUCUUCCUCCUAAGAUCACACAAAAAUGGACCUAGUUUGAUGAAUUAUCUCCUAGAGUCAAAAUCUCAGUCCGAUGAAUCUUUCUCCUGAGAUCACACAAACGUGGACCCAGUCUGAUGAAUUAUCUCCUGGAGUCAAAAUCUUCCUAAGAUGAAAAUCUUAGUCUGAUGAAUUUUUCACCUAAGAUAAAAAUAAGAAUCUUAGUCUGUUGAAUCUGUCACCUAAGAUGAAAAUCUUGGUCUGAUGAAUUUUUUACCUAAGAAUAAUUUUAAAUUUUAACAUACAUUUCAGUUUUUAAAUUUUUAAAAUUGUAAUUCAGUCUUAUCACAAUUUAAGUUUUAGUUCUUAUUAGUAUGUGGUAACAGGCACCCAGUUUUCCAAACUGGGAAGAAAGUUUUCUUUGUUUUGUCUAUUUUUGUGAAGUCAGGAGCCCGCCUUGAGAACAGAGGAAUACAUUCAAGUUUUGAAGUCAGGAGCUCGCCUUAAGAACAGAGGUAUUACAAUUCAAGUUUUAGUUUUUAAAUUUGUAUUAGUAUCCGGUAACAAACCCCAGUUUUUAAACUGGGGCAGAAAGUUUUCUUUGUUUUUUCUAUUUUGUGAAUUCAGGAGACCGCAUGAAGAACAGAGGAAUACAUUCAAGUUUUGAAGUCAGGAGCCCGCCUGAAAAACAGAGGAAUACAUUCAAGUUCAAGUUUAUUCAAGUUCAGCAGUUUGGAGGGAAAGAACAACAUCUCAGUGCAUGAUUUGAAGUAACAACAGUGAGUUUCACCAAAGAAAACACAAGGCAACAAGGCAACAAGAGAGAAAACAAGAUAACAAGACAACAAGGAAGUACAAGAUGCAAGUUUGAAGAUUUUAGAUAGUUUUUUUUUGUAAUUCAUAGUUCAUAGCUUAGGCUAGCUUCUUUUAUUUUGACAUGGUGUAAUAAGGAAGGUCAACGAGCAGUAGCAGCAGCAAUCGCUGUGAAACCACAGCUCCUGGUAGUCCCUGCUACCAGACACUCCCGAACUACACUGAACUGAUUCCUGUUUAGCCCAGGAUAUAUAGGCAACGUCUGAAGCAGGGUGCGGUCAAACGUUUCAAAAUGCUUUGCAACAGAAUUUUCAAACGGGCAAAAGUCGCUCAUAUUUGCUCACUUAUCUUUGCCUUAAAACAUUUCAUGUUUCCAAGCAAAAAGGGGCAGCUCUGAGCACGUGAUUUUUGCCCUAUAUAUGAAUAAUUCCCACAAAUUCAAACAAAAAAAUUUUUCCUUUAUUUUUUACAAUUUUUGUGCAUUUUUUUCCAUUUCCUGAUAAUUGUUGCAUUUUAUUUGUGCAUGUGAAUUCGUAAAAAAUACAAAAUAUGUAUUUCCAUUUAGGAUUUAAUUUCAUUUUAAUACUAAUUAGGGGUCAAAUUGUUUUAGAACAAUGCAUGAAAAAUAACAAAAAUAGUUCAUUUUUUGCAUUUUAGUUGUUAAUUGUUUAGUUUGUCGCGAAAUAGAUUUUAAACAAUUUUAUGAAUUAAUUAGUUUAAUUUUAGAAAUAAUUAGAUCUUUAUCUUUAUUUUUGUAUUGUGUAUAAAAAUCAGAAAAUAUGAAAAAAUAUAAUGUGGAAAAAACAAAAGAGGAAAUAAUAGGAAAAUAGAAGAAAAGAAAAUACAAAGAAGAUGGUUUGAUUUAAAGGCAAAAUUUGGGCAAUUUUUGUACCCAAAUCCCAGCCCAGAAACGACCAUCAUCCAACCCAAUCUGCUACACACAAAUUGGGGCCAUUUUUGUACGCAAAUCCCAGCCCAGAAACGACCAUCACCCAGCCCAAGAAACGACCAUCAACCAGCCCAAUCCGAUCCACAACCCGGUCCAGGACCCCACCAAAAACGACGUCGUUUUCCUUUCUUGCAUCCUGACCGUUCAAUGCCCUUGAUCCAACGGCCCUUGUUCACUCGUACAUAUCUGAUAAAAGUGUCGGAAUAUCAGUCUAAACCCUAGAGACAAACAUACAUUUCCUCGUACCCCUUUCAUCUUCCUCGUAUUGAAUGAGUGACCCCGCCUGAGCUGCCGCCGAUGGUGAACGCCACCACCACCAAUGGCCUCCAGAUUAAAAUUCCGUCUUCUCCUCGUCUCCCUCGUCUCGAUUCCCCAGUUCAUUUCUCUCAAAUCCUAGCCUAGCUCGUCGAAUCUUGGCCCAAAGCUUUUCCGACCAAGAUGCAAAACCAUCCAAACCUUAC
Molecule: long non-coding RNA, 12234 nt
Filed under: Nicotiana benthamiana
Lineage: Eukaryota; Viridiplantae; Streptophyta; Magnoliopsida; Solanales; Solanaceae
Description: long non-coding RNA (NBEN_LNC029100)
Source: RNAcentral